AGCCUCUUUAACCCCUGCUGCCAUUGUGUGCGCGUGUAUGUGCACGUGUGUGCGCAUGUGUGCGCGCGCACGUGUGCAUGCACAGGCACAUGCACAGGAACCAAUAAGAUAUUGUGUCACCAUCUCCCCUGUUCAAUAAAACCACUGUCAUUCGUAACCCCAAGCUGGGUUGUAUUUUACUGAGCCACGGUCCCUUCCCCAUCUUAAAUUCUAGUCUCUCUCUCAGCUUUCCCCCCCGUCCUUUCCCUGCCAAAUCUCAGCGCCUCUGUCCCUUCUCCAUUCCCCUGCUGCAGCCUCUUAGCCCCGUUGCUUUCUGCCAUCUCUCAGCCCUGCUCCCACUGCUUUUUGCCUCUUCUCUGUCCCCCUGCUGCAGCCACUUGGCCCUGUUAUUUUCUGCCAUCUCUCAGUCCCAUUCCUGCCAUCCACCGUCUUUUUCUCACAUCUUUCCACAGCCCUUCCUGCCAUUUCUGCCACUUCUAGCCUCCUGGCCCUGUUUCUGCUGUCCACCACCUCCUUCCCCUGUCUUUCCACAGCUCUUAUUGCCACUUCUAGCCUCUCAGCCCCGCUCAUUUCUGCCUCCUGCUGCCUCUCCCCACUCCCUAUCUCUCUCUCCACCUUCUAUUCCAAACCUUCCCUGCCCCCCCCCCCAUGUUCUCCAGCUUUCCCCGACACCCUCUCUAGCCAGCCCUUCUCCCCAACACAGUCCUCUGGCCUGCCAUCAACUUCCCCACAGCUCCUUCAGGCUGCCCCGCAGGUUUCCCAGCAGCCGGAGCCCUUCUCCAGCUCCUGGAACGAGCAGCCCCUCUCCCUGUAGCUUCCUGAGCUCCCUAGCAGCCCCCCUCCAGCACCCCUCAUUCCCAGAGCCAACCCCCAGUUUCCUCCACACCCUCUCUAGCUCACCUGCACUUUCUGUCCCAGUUUCCCUCUCCCCGCUUAUCUUUUGGCUCCCCUGUAGCUCCAGCUUCAGUCCCAGCCUCUGUGCUGGCUUCUCUCCAGCAUCACUCCCCUGUUCUGCAGGCUUUGGACAUUGUCCUUUAAUCAAUUAAGGUCAAUUAACCUAAAGUAACCCCCAAGCCUCAGUUCUUC
This 1086-nucleotide long non-coding RNA is filed under the name Crocodylus porosus (Australian saltwater crocodile). RNAcentral describes it as "lncRNA (ENSCPRG00005003036.1)". Lineage: Eukaryota; Metazoa; Chordata; Crocodylia; Crocodylidae. The record is from RNAcentral.